GCCGGCGUAGCUCAGUUGGUAGAGCAGCUGACUUGUAAUCAGCAGGUCGCCGGUUCGAGUCCGGCCGCCGGCUCCA
Molecule: transfer RNA, 76 nt
Filed under: Thermanaeromonas sp.
Lineage: Bacteria; Bacillati; Bacillota; Clostridia; Neomoorellales; Neomoorellaceae
Description: tRNA-Thr
Rfam family: tRNA
About the family: Transfer RNA (tRNA) molecules are approximately 80 nucleotides in length. Their secondary structure includes four short double-helical elements and three loops (D, anti-codon, and T loops).
Source: RNAcentral